RNAcentral lists this ribosomal RNA (292 nucleotides) under uncultured bacterium. RNAcentral's name for it is "partial 16S ribosomal RNA". The record is from RNAcentral.
GGACUACCAGGGUUUCUAAUCCUGUUUGCUCCCCACGCUUUCGCGCCUCAGCGUCAGCAAUGGCCCAGCGAGCCGCCUUCGCCACCGGUGUUCUUCCUGAUCUCUACGCAUUCCACCGCUACACCAGGAAUUCCACUCGCCUCUACCAUGCUCGAGCCGAGCAGUCCCGCGUGCCGUUCCGGGGUUGAGCCCCGGGAUUUCACACGCGGCUUACCCAGCCGCCUACACGCCCUUUACGCCCAGUGAUUCCGGACAACGCUCGCACCCUCUGUAUUACCGCGGCGGCUGGCAC